AGUUAAUGAACUUGUAAAGUAUAUAUUUUGAAAAUAUAAAAAAGGGUUAAACCCCCUAUUAACUU
Molecule: transfer RNA, 65 nt
Filed under: Lioporeus pilatei
Lineage: Eukaryota; Metazoa; Arthropoda; Insecta; Coleoptera; Dytiscidae
Description: tRNA-Ser
Source: RNAcentral